UUGCUUCAGCAGCACAUAUACUAAAAUUGUAAUGAUACAGAGUAGAUUAGCAUGGCCCCUGAACAAGGAUGACAUGUAAACUCGUGAAGCAUUCCAUAUUUUU
Molecule: small nuclear RNA, 103 nt
Organism: Trichosurus vulpecula (common brushtail)
Lineage: Eukaryota; Metazoa; Chordata; Mammalia; Diprotodontia; Phalangeridae
Source: RefSeq, a predicted model, not a curated record